This 481-nucleotide ribosomal RNA is filed under the name uncultured bacterium. RNAcentral's name for it is "partial 16S ribosomal RNA". It matches the Rfam family "Bacterial small subunit ribosomal RNA", at positions 28 to 507 of the family's 1533-position model. The record is from RNAcentral.
GAUGAACGCUGGCGGCGUGCCUAACACAUGCAAGUCGAGCGAAGCGCUUAAAUUAGAUUUCUUCGGAAUGACGAUUUUUGUGACUGAGCGGCGGACGGGUGAGCAACGCGUGGGUAACCUGCCUCAUACAGGGGGAUAACAGUUAGAAAUGACUGCUAAUACCGCAUAAGACCCCAGCUUCGCAUGAAGCGGUGGUAAAAACUCCGGUGGUAUGAGAUGGACCCGCGUCUGAUUAGCUAGUUGGUAAGGUAACGGCUUACCAAGGCGACGAUCAGUAGCCGAGAUGUGAGAGUGGCCCGCGACACUGGGGCUGAGACACGGCCCAGAAUCCUACGGGAGGCAGGAGUGGGGAAUAGAGCACAAUGGGGGAAACGCUGAUGCAGCGACGCCGCGUGAAGGAUGAAGUAUUUCGGUAUGUAAACUUCUAUCAGCAGGGAAGAAAGUGACGGUACCUGACGAAGAAGCCCCGGCUAACUACGUG